Molecule: long non-coding RNA, 807 nt
Organism: Sinocyclocheilus anshuiensis
Lineage: Eukaryota; Metazoa; Chordata; Actinopteri; Cypriniformes; Cyprinidae
Exons: 4
Source: RefSeq, a predicted model, not a curated record
AAAUCAACACACAGCUACUGGAAAGCAUUAGUGCUGAGAAAAAAGAUGAAAGGUGAUGAGAUUGUUUGUCAAAACUCUUCCUUAUGUGAGAGUCCAUUCAAAUGCAGUGAUGCAGAGGCCAGUACUGUAGUUGAAGCUGCUGCAGAAUAUGGGGAACCCCUCCCAGUACCAUCUGAAGUGGACAAAUGGGUCUUCUUCACAAAGUAAAAGAUCAUUAACUCUUUGCAGUGUGAUCUCAGAAGAAGGUAGAAAAGGCCAGAAGAAUGCCAGAAGUCAGUAAUGUCCCUGGUGCAAAGAUUUUUGUUUUAUUAAUGUUUUAUUUUUUAAAACAUUGCUUUAUUUAUUAGAACAAGACACACACACACACACACCCCUCUCAUUCAUUUGGUGAAAUUACCAAGUUAUUUUUGCAGUAACAUUGGUGAACGUGUUUCUGAACUUCAAAUGCACGUGUUUCAGUGCCAAAGAUCAUGUUCAUACUUUAAAGGUUGAAUAGUUAAUCUCUAAAACCUGAGUUUUUUUUUUCUUCUUCAGACUUUUACAGUGCCUUUUCGUGUGUGUGUGUUUGUUUUGUUUAUUUCUAUUUAUACACCUAUUCUGACAAGUCCUUUAGGAACAAGUGAGCAAGUUUAAGCUUAGGUACAAGGUUAAGAAAACUUUGCUUUGUAAUUACUGCCAUUAGGAACCAAUAUACAUUGGGUAUUAGGACAAGAAGAGUUCGUCUUCGCAAGAUGACCAAGAAAUCAAACUCUGUAGCAAGAAUGUGAAGUUCCAUGCCUGAUGUAAAAAAGAAAUAAUACUCUACUU